ACCCGCGGCUGAAAAAUGGGGAAGAAAUCUUGAGAGUGAAGAGUUCAUGAGAUGCGUGCGAAGCAAGGCGUUCACAAUGAUUCAACUUCCGUGGCAAUGAUUCGCUCCACCAUCAGCUCAUUUCAAUAAUCAACGAUUCAACAAUCAUUUUCGCAGCUUUUUCUCUCGAAUUCUUCCUUUAUAUUCAACGCAGAGGCUUCGUCGUCUCCUCCGAUUCCACUGUUCAUCGUCGAGUUCCAUUUCCAUGGAGGUCGUUGAUUUAAAGGUUUGUUUGCAUUGCAAGUCCUGCGAAAAUGCUGUUCGCAAAACGCUUUGCAAAAUCAAAGGAGUGAAAUGUGUGGAAACAAAUAUAGCUCUAAACAAGAUCACCGUGUUGGGUUACAUGGAUCGUAAAAUGGUCAUCAAGGAGGUACGAAAAACAGGACGAAAGGCCGAGGUAUUGCCAUCUUCGUCCCUCCGCCCCUCGACUCCACGUCGGAGAAGUCGAAGAGCAACAUCUGCAUUCAAAUGUAUGUUGCCAUCUUGUUUUCGCUAAA
This is a long non-coding RNA of Cucurbita maxima (winter squash), 536 nucleotides long. RefSeq lists it as uncharacterized. The record is from RefSeq and is a predicted model, not a curated record. The transcript is spliced from 3 exons. NCBI's taxonomy places the organism in Eukaryota, Viridiplantae, Streptophyta, Magnoliopsida, Cucurbitales, Cucurbitaceae.